Long non-coding RNA from Bradysia coprophila, 231 nucleotides. NCBI's taxonomy places the organism in Eukaryota, Metazoa, Arthropoda, Insecta, Diptera, Sciaridae. The record is from RefSeq and is a predicted model, not a curated record.
AAAAAAUCGACAAAGUAGAAAAAGAUUCGGUUUGAGGACUUUAGUUCUUACACAAAAAUCCUCAAAAUCUUGGACCAAUUUCUGAAAAACAAUCUGAAAUAAUGAUUUUCACUUAUGGUAACUGAAACAUUUGGUGUGAAAUCAAGUUAUUGUGCUACAAUGCGAGAGUAGCGAGUUCUUUUUCAAGUCGCGUUCAAUUCAAUCACGCUUCUAGUGAAAGAAAAUUGUAGG